Molecule: ribosomal RNA, 552 nt
Filed under: Triticum aestivum (bread wheat)
Lineage: Eukaryota; Viridiplantae; Streptophyta; Magnoliopsida; Poales; Poaceae
Description: partial small subunit ribosomal RNA
Source: RNAcentral
AUGGCUGUUCAUGAAAUCUGCCUGCAAGUAUUGCUGGUGGUUGCAUUGUUACUUCCGGAUGCAUUGGCAGUUUCUGCCCCAAGUGCCCAGCAAUGUCAACAGCGGACUUCUGGUAACCGACAACAGUACCGAAAAAGGCUUUCGCCCCUGAUAAGCUCGGUGGACUUUGCAGCGCCCAUGUCGGAGUGGAUCACCGUGCCGUCAAAGUUCUCCAGCCCUUUGUUCGGCGGGAAUGUGGGAAUGUUGGGGACGCCGCUGAAUCUCCCAGUGCACAGGAUCACAAAGUCAGUGACGUAUGUCUGGAAAUCAGCUGUUGCCGACGCACCAAUCUGUUCAAGUGUUGAUGCAGACCUGUUUUCUCACUGUCAACUAUUGUCACUUUGUCAGCUCUUAACUACAAUGUUUUUACUGCUAGUGCAAGAAAAUUAUUAUUUUCACCUUGUUCUCAUGGAUCUUGAGGUUCUUUGCAGAUGUCAUGUCCUCACCCGGUCACCCCCGACCGCUGGUUCCGGUUGCGCCGACGAAGCAACCCUCGGUCAGCGCGGCGGCUAG